Molecule: long non-coding RNA, 1770 nt
Organism: Corticium candelabrum
Lineage: Eukaryota; Metazoa; Porifera; Homoscleromorpha; Homosclerophorida; Plakinidae
Exons: 3
Source: RefSeq, a predicted model, not a curated record
CAAUAAAAAACACACAACAAAAGUGCUAGCGAUCUUUCCAAAGGCACGGUCGUCGUUACCAUCUUGAAUCAGGUGUCCCGUAUGUAGCGUGACAUGUCGUCACCACACUUCCGGUUUCUCGUUACACACGCAAGGUUUGGUAACGGCGAAAGCAGAACAGUUAGAGUAUAGCCUAGCGUAGUCUCGCGUAGCCAGACCCCUUUCGGCCACGUUCUCCCCAACGAAAUGGGGUCUGGUGAACGGCCUUUGAUGUCGCUGUGUGGCACGUAGCAGGAAAUCGGCUAUCUAGAGACCGGAUUUUGUUUCUUAAAACGAUUCACUAAAGACCAGACUGAGAACAACUCGAAGACUACAGCUAGAGUCAUUGCUGUUUGUGAAAUCUGCUUGUCUCGGCAGCGAUUAAACGCGGCCGCGGGAACGUUGACGUCGACAGGCUUCGAUUUCAUGCAGACAUGAUCGAUGUCGUACGAUUUAACGUUGUGCGCGCUCGUGUCACAAGUUGUCAACGGAGACUGAAUGCGAACUUUUUUGACGUCUAAAGCGACUGCAGACAGUCCAGAGUGAGCGAUAUCUGGAAGGGCUUGGAGCUGCAUGACGUCAUCGAAACAAGAUGAGUCGUCUUUCUGUGUUUGGGUAAUCGUUUCAUGUGUUUUGUGCUUUGCUUUGGUGAACACAUACAGUAGCAACCAGGAAGAGACCACGUUGUGAUUGGAGUAAUAUGAACGGAAGCAGCAUGGUUGCAGACUUCACUUCUGACACUGCAUGUCAAUCUGUGGAACACGCAAGUCUCUACUACUUACAUUAUAUGAUGUCUGCCUGGCCCUGAGUAACCUUUACGUAACGAUCAACACUGCAUGCGUAUACUGCAUGAUCAUCAUGUAUUAAUUCAUAGAUAUACAUAUAUGGUAGUCCAUAUAUAUCUAGUCUAAAAAGAAACCUAAAACAUACGAUAGCAGUCACUGUGGUGGUAGCCCUGUGUGUCCCGCAUGUAGGUCACAAUCAAGAUCGCCACUGACGUUCAAUGGAGCCAUUGAAUAUAUACACAAUGCUGCAGAAGCUGAUUUCGUAUGUGAGACUAUUCUUGGGCGACAACCCGCACAGCUGGGAUUUGACAUUGAAUGGAAAGUAACGUUUACUCGUGGACAAGCGCCAUUGCAAUGUCCGACUGCUCUCGUGCAGUUGUGUCUCUCGUCGACAUGAUGCUGUCUGUUUCAAGUGAGACGAAUGAAAGCGUUUUCUUGCAAGCUCAAGGAAAUACUCGAAAGCCCAGAUAUAUUGAAACUGGGCGUUGGUAUUGGUGGCGACAGCUUGAAGCUUGUCAAGACUAUGACAUUCAUUGUCAAGGAGUGAUUGAUCUCUCUUGUGUGGCAACUAAAAUUUUACGGUCAUUUGAAACGUGGAGUCUGAAAGAUCUUGUUUGCAUCUGUUUCACUUGGAGCUUUCGAAGGAAAAUCGUGUUUGGUUGAGUAACUGGGAGGUGGCACUCUGUCCUGAUCAGCAAGUUUAUGCUGCCACGGAUGCGUAUGCUGGUUUAUUAAUUUAUCAAAAACUGCAAUCUAUUAAGAUAGAGAACGAAAUACAUUCAAACUGAUUCGUCUGGUUUGAUGUGAUUACGGAGAUUGUCUUUGAUUGCCAAAUGUAUUUUUUCAAAGAGUUUUAUUGCUUGAAUGCUUGAUAGCUUAUUGUAAUAGGCAAUUCUUCAUACUUUUUAAUGAUUUAUUUGUCUACUAUGAUGUAAACCAGAUAUGAAGUAGUCAGGUGUACAUGCAU